This 389-nucleotide non-coding RNA is filed under the name Marinomonas spartinae. RNAcentral describes it as "Bacterial large subunit ribosomal RNA". It matches the Rfam family "Bacterial large subunit ribosomal RNA", at positions 2541 to 2925 of the family's 2925-position model. The record is from Rfam by way of RNAcentral. Lineage: Bacteria; Pseudomonadati; Pseudomonadota; Gammaproteobacteria; Oceanospirillales; Oceanospirillaceae.
CACAUCCUGGGGCUGAAGCCGGUCCCAAGGGUAUGGCUGUUCGCCAUUUAAAGUGGUACGCGAGCUGGGUUUAGAACGUCGUGAGACAGUUCGGUCCCUAUCUGCCGUGGACGUUUGAGAUUUGAGAGGAGCUGCUCCUAGUACGAGAGGACCGGAGUGGACGAACCUCUGGUGUUCCGGUUGUCACGCCAGUGGCAUUGCCGGGUAGCUAUGUUCGGACGGGAUAACCGCUGAAAGCAUCUAAGCGGGAAGCCUCCCUUAAGAUAAGAUCUCACUGGAACAUAAGUUCCCUAAAGAGCCGUUCGAGACGAGGACGUUGAUAGGUUGGGUGUGUAAGUGCUGUGAGGCAUUGAGCUAACCAAUACUAAUUGCUCGUGAGGCUUGACCAU